UGAGGAAUAUUGGUCAAUGGGCGCAAGCCUGAACCAGCCACCCCGCGUGCAGGAAGACGGCGCUAUGCGUUGUAAACUGCUUUUCCAGGGGGAGAAACUUGCGCACGUGUUGCGCAAUUGACGGUACCCUGGGAAUAAGCAUCGGCUAACUCCGUGCCAGCAGCCGCGGUAAUACGGAGGAUGCGAGCGUUAUCCGGAUUCAUUGGGUUUAAAGGGUGCGUAGGCGGACUAUUAAGUCAGUGGUGAAAUCCUGCAGCUUAACUGCAGAACUGCCAUUGAUACUGAUAGCCUUGAGUUUGGUUAAGGUAGGCGGAAUGUGUAGUGUAGCGGUGAAAUGCUUAGAUAUUACACAGAACACCAAUUGCGUAGGCAGCUUACUGAGCCGACACUGACGCUGAGGCACGAAAGCGUGGGGAUCGAACAG
RNAcentral lists this ribosomal RNA (424 nucleotides) under uncultured bacterium. Its description in RNAcentral is "bacterial SSU rRNA". It matches the Rfam family "Bacterial small subunit ribosomal RNA", at positions 355 to 775 of the family's 1533-position model. The record is from RNAcentral.